GUCAAUACAACAGAGGUUCAGAAACCCAUUUAUUAAAGAAAAUAAGUGACAGAACAAUCCACAGAUGGAAAAGAAAUAUUCCAAGUGCAUAUAAUCAACAUGGAAUUCAAAUCCAGAAUGUGUAGGUGUGUGUGUGUGUUGGUGGUGGUGCAAAAGUAAUUGCAUUUUUGGACCAUUAAUUUUAAAUCAUUAUAACUAGGCUCAAACACAUCUUUAUUAAUCAAAAUAGGAACCAUUACAAUCAACACUUUUUUGCCAACGAGAAAUAAAUUUGUUUAUUCCUGCAGCAUAAACAUCCAUGCUUCUGGAUUCAACAAACUCUUGGAAAGCAUUUUUCUGCAUCCUGCUGGUGUGGAAGCAUUUCACCUGCAAAAAGCUGUCAAGAUGCUUCAAGAAGUGAAGCAUCCAAUGGCUGGCCACUGUGUUCCUCAUAUUCAAGGCUCUAGUCUGCUUUGCAAAACUUCUUGAAUCACAGCUGCCCUGUAUGUUCGUUAGUAGUUCCUGGGCCAAAUGCGCUGUUCAUGUUUCAAGUUAUCUCUGCUGCGUUAUGACCCAUUUUGAACUCAAAUAAGAAAACCACUUGAAGUUGCUUUUUGUCUAAUAUCAUUUCCAUAGUACCAGAAAAUGUCACACGACAGGGACGUUAAUCCAUUAGUCUAUUUUUUUCACUUGUAUUUGUCUUUUUCUUUAUAUGUCCUUCUUUCUCAUUUUGGGCGUUGGUUCAUGU
This 727-nucleotide long non-coding RNA is filed under the name Homo sapiens (human). Its description in RNAcentral is "non-protein coding lnc-PITPNB-2:1". The record is from RNAcentral. Lineage: Eukaryota; Metazoa; Chordata; Mammalia; Primates; Hominidae.